Molecule: long non-coding RNA, 860 nt
Organism: Gadus morhua (Atlantic cod)
Lineage: Eukaryota; Metazoa; Chordata; Actinopteri; Gadiformes; Gadidae
Source: Ensembl
CCAGCUUGCCGGUUGUUCUGUACUGUAACUGAGGGAGAGCGGAGAAAAUAAAUAUCAGCACACACACAAACACGAACGAGCGGAGACGCACACACGUGCAUCUUGUUAAGCAAAGACAUCCAAAACAUCAGAACUUUUGGUGCUGUCUCUUUUGGCCGAGGAGUGCUGUUUCACUGGUUAAAGGUAGCCUGUGGAUAUGUUCUGAGUGGAGCAGCUCAAAGGUCUGAGAGGCAAACGCUGGGCUGCUAUUAGCGUGCCCUUUGCUAGCUGGCGGGGAGGCCCCUGAACAUGUUCCAGGCUGACCUACAUGCUGAGAGCCGCACCCCGACACAAAGGAGGGCAUCGCGUCCCCCAGCCCGCUCCUCCAAGCCCGUCUGAGUCCGAUGCCGGGGACAGUCAGCCGAGAACAGGAAGUAAAGGAGGAAGAAGGAACGGGAGGAGGAGGGAGAGGAACAGGAGGAGGAGGGAGAGGGAGGACGAGGAGGAGAGGACCUUGGCCCCGUGCCCUGAGGACUGCGUGGUCAUCCUCUAAACGGAGUAGGAGUGAAAGCCUUCACACGGUGCCCUGCAGCGCUGAUAGCGGUGGUUACUCAUCUCUGGAGGACAUUGUUUGCUAUGUACUUCACCGUGAACUCCUGGAUUUUAUGGACAUGCGGGCAGGUCGAAGCAGACCUUUGAACGGCCACGACUGUGGGAACCGCAGACAUAACAGGCUGGGAGCUGCUAGUGCUACGCUAUCUUAUCUCCGUGUCAGAAGUCUGAGCAGGGUCGGUCGUGUUUAUGGUUGUGUGCUCAUUGCACUGUAAUUAUUAUACGACGACGGCGGUGUUGCUCGCCAUGGGAAAAGAGGUGAUGAAACA